GCUGGCGGCAGGCCUAAUACAUGCAAGUCGAGCGGGUGUAGCAAUGCACCAGCGGCAGACGGGAGAGUAACACGUGGGAACGUGCCCUUCAGUUCGGAACAACCCAGGGAAACUUGGGCUAAUACCGGAUACGUCCGUAAGGAGAAAGAUUUAUCGCUGAAGGAUCGGCCCGCGUCUGAUUAGCUUGUUGGUGAGGUAACGGCUCACCAAGGCGACGAUCAGUAGCUGGUCUGAGAGGAUGAUCAGCCUCACUGGGACUGAGACACGGCCCAGACUCCUACGGGAGGCAGCAGUAGGGAAUAUUGGACAAUGGGCGCAAGCCUGAUCCAGCCAUGCCGCGUGGGUGAUGAAGGCCCUAGGGUUGUAAAGCCCUUUCGGCGGGGAAGAUAAUGACGGUACCCGCAGAAGAAGCCCCGGCUAACUUCGUGCCAGCAGCCGCGGUAAUACGAAGGGGGCUAGCGUUGCUCGGAAUCACUGGGCGUAAAGCGCACGUAGGCGGCUUUUUAAGUCAGGGGUGAAAUCCUGGAGCUCAACUCCAGAACUGCCUUUGAUACUGAGAAGCUUGAGUCCGGGAGAGGUGAGUGGAACUGCGAGUG
Molecule: ribosomal RNA, 596 nt
Filed under: uncultured soil bacterium
Lineage: Bacteria
Description: bacterial SSU rRNA
Rfam family: Bacterial small subunit ribosomal RNA
Source: RNAcentral